Long non-coding RNA from Arachis duranensis, 865 nucleotides. RefSeq lists it as uncharacterized. The record is from RefSeq and is a predicted model, not a curated record. The transcript has 2 exons. NCBI's taxonomy places the organism in Eukaryota, Viridiplantae, Streptophyta, Magnoliopsida, Fabales, Fabaceae.
UGGCAAUUUUUUCCGACGGGAUAGUUUCCGCGGGAAUUUACCCAUCGGGGGAUGGGGAUGGGGAUAUUUUUUCACCCGUGGAGGACGGGCACGGGGACUCGCAAAACAAAUGGGGCGGGAGCAGGGAGUGAGGUCCCACCCCGUAGAGAUCCGUUUAAUACCCGCAUAUAUAUAUAUAUUACUUAUGAAACCCUAAUUUCUUAUCCUCUUCUCUCUGUCGCCUUUCACUUUCCUUCCCUUAAAACUCUGAUUCUCUCCUUCUCCGUCUCCUUCCCUCCUCCACUCUUGCCGUCGUCUGCCGCCCGCGUCUCCUCAGGUCACUGUCUCACUGCAGAAGGAAGAACUGUUAUUGCUUCCUCGAUGGGGUGCCCCUCAUUCUCUUAGAUUCUCUUUCUUUCCUUCUCUCCAUGACACUCCUCCACUUAGACCUCUCACCGCCAUCUGCUACCUUCAUCUGCUCUCACUCGCGCGCCUGACACCCCGCUCUAGGAGAACUGAUGUCGCUGGAUGCAGAAUCAUCACGAGGAGCUUGAAGCGUCACCAUCUUUGGCAAAGGCUGUCCGGUCUCCGUCGCUGCCUCCAGCAAGAUCGUUGGCUGCAUUUCUUUCCGGUUGAAGUGGGUUUGCAGAAGAUCUGUAAGUUUUAGAUGGUUGAUGGCUAGUUUGUGCAAGGCAAUGGUAACAGUUUUAGAUUUUUUUUUCAUCUCAAUUAGGUAGGUCGGAUAUAAAUUGGUGUUUGAUGUAGUUGAUUGUUUAGUUUAAUAUGUGGUUAAACUUGACUGGAGUGGAUUUGGUAUGUGGUUGAAUUUGACUGGAGUGGAUUUUAAAUUGGAUGAAUGGAUAUGAAAGUGUUUAUGGUUUCAAUU